GCUGGAGCACACUGAAGCUGGAGCACAUUGAAGUGGAAGACAGGGCUGCAGGCAGAGACUGGGCAGCCUCUGCUCCAAGGAAGCUGGAGAGCCAGAGAGCAGAUUCCAUAAGAAGAAUAACUCCCAUUCCUCAUGCAUGAGACCCUCUGCUAAAUGCUUCCCACGCACCACCUCCAGAAAUCCUCCCAAGCCAGGACCCCAGCAGUAUUACAGGAACUGGAUGACAGAAAGAAGAGCCAAUAUAACCAGGAACCUACUCUGCCCAUCCCAAGUAAGGAUCUAAAGUCCAACCUCCUCCUCCACUGCCCUCAAGGCCUUUCCUCAUGAAAGCAGAGGUUCUGAAUGCUGAUUUCUGUUUUAAAGUCCAAUAACUCUUUAAACAUCU
Molecule: long non-coding RNA, 385 nt
Organism: Mandrillus leucophaeus (drill)
Lineage: Eukaryota; Metazoa; Chordata; Mammalia; Primates; Cercopithecidae
Exons: 2
Source: RefSeq, a predicted model, not a curated record